Molecule: ribosomal RNA, 484 nt
Filed under: uncultured bacterium
Lineage: Bacteria
Description: partial 16S ribosomal RNA
Rfam family: Bacterial small subunit ribosomal RNA
Source: RNAcentral
AUUGAACGCUGGCGGCAGGCCUAACACAUGCAAGUCGAGCGGAUGAAGGGAGCUUGCUCCUGGAUUCAGCGGCGGACGGGUGAGUAAUGCCUAGGAAUCUGCCUGGUAGUGGGGGAUAACGUCCGGAAACGGGCGCUAAUACCGCAUACGUCCUGUGGGAGAAAGUGGGGGAUCUUCGGACCUCACGCUAUCAUAUGAGCCUAGGUCGGAUUAGCUAGUUGGUGGGGUAAAGGCCUACCAAGGCGACGAUCCGUAACUGGUCUGAGAGGAUGAUCAGUCACACUGGAACUGAGACACGGUCCAGACGACUACGGGAGGCAGCAGUGGGGAAUAGUGGACAAUGGGCGAAAGCCUGAUCCAGCCAGGCCGAGUGUGUGAAGAAGGUCUUCGGAUUGUAAAGCACUUUAAGGUGGGAGGAAGGGCAGUAAGUUAAUACCUUGCUGUUGUGACGUUACCAACAGAAUAAGCACCGGCUAACUUCGUG